Molecule: ribosomal RNA, 305 nt
Filed under: uncultured Pseudomonadota bacterium
Lineage: Bacteria; Pseudomonadati; Pseudomonadota
Description: bacterial SSU rRNA
Rfam family: Bacterial small subunit ribosomal RNA
Source: RNAcentral
AGCGAACGCUAGCGGGCGGCUUAACACAUGCAAGUCGAGCGGGGGAUUUCGGUCCUCAGCGGCGGACGGGUGAGUAACACGUAGGAAUCUGCCUUUUGGUGGGGGAUAGCCGGGGGAAACCCCGAUUAAUACCGCAUAUGGCCUAUGGGUCAAAGCCGUAAGGCGCCAGAAGAUGAGCCUGCGUCCGAUUAUUUAGUCCUUGUUGGUGGGGUAACGGCCUACCAAGGGUACGAUCGGUAGCUGGUCUGAGAGGACGAUCAGCCACACUGGAACUGAGACACGGUCCAGACUCCUACGGGUGGCUG